Molecule: ribosomal RNA, 477 nt
Filed under: uncultured bacterium
Lineage: Bacteria
Description: partial 16S ribosomal RNA
Rfam family: Bacterial small subunit ribosomal RNA
Source: RNAcentral
AUUGAACGCUGGCGGCAUGCCUUACACAUGCAAGUCGAACGGUAACAGGUUAAGCUGACGAGUGGCGAACGGGUGAGUAAUGUAUCGGAACGUGCCCAGUCGUGGGGGAUAACUGCUCGAAAGAGCAGCUAAUACCGCAUACGACCUGAGGGUGAAAGCGGGGGAUCGCAAGACCUCGCGCGAUUGGAGCGGCCGAUAUCAGAUUAGGUAGUUGGUGAGGUAAAGGCUCACCAAGCCGACGAUCUGUAGCUGGUCUGAGAGGACGACCAGCCACACUGGGACUGAGACACGGCCCAGACUCCUACGGGAGGCAGCAGCGGGGAAUUUUGGACAAUGGGCGCAAGCCUGAUCCAGCCAUGCCGCGUGCGGGAAGAAGGCCUUCGGGUUGUAAACCGCUUUUGUCAGGGAAGAAAAGGUUCUGGCUAAUACCUGGGACUCAUGACGGUACCUGAAGAAUAAGCACCGGCUAACUACGUG